UCAAAGGAAUGCAUUUGGAAGAGCUGGGGCCAAGUGAGCCCUUCUCUACCUCUGCUGUGGCCACAUUUGUAGAAUUGCCUCAAGGCUAAAUUCCCAAGAUUGCCUUGCCUGACAAGGACUCUUAAUAGGGUUUGUGGUCCCAUCAGAGUCUUUGUAAUCACUCCUUACCUCCACUGAACAUGUGGAUGAGAAAAGAGUUCACUCCCCAAUUCUGACAUAGCAUAUUUUCCAGUAUCUUCACUGAAGAGCGGAGCAUGAAAGGUUUUCUCUGUGGCUAAUCAGUUUAUCCAGAGGAGAGUCGUCCGAUCUCCUGCAUAGAGGAUUUAAGUCUGGCAAUUAGUAUUCUAGGAGUCUACAGAGAAGGCAGCCAUUCAGCAUGUGGAGCAUCUGCAGUACAGUCUCGCCCACCCCCUGCACCAGCUGUGCCUGGUAUCUCAGGUACCCAAUCCUCUCUAGCCCCUCGUGCACCCCACUUUCAGAGGUCCCUGGCACCUAAAAUUACCAAGGUUCUUCCCUGCGUAUUCACCUCCUGGGUCACCUCCACAACCUGCUGAGACCGCAGCGUUCUCCAACCCGUGCCAGCAGCCAAGCUGGCUUCAGCGCUCCGACUUCCACAGUCUUGGUGCUGUUCUCUCUUCCCAUUUUCCUCAUCCUUGUGGGAUUACAACUUUCUUUCUUUUUUCCAGUGAAAGUAAAAAUAAACUUAUGAAUUUAAUCGAC
This is a long non-coding RNA of Cynocephalus volans (Philippine flying lemur), 720 nucleotides long. RefSeq lists it as uncharacterized. The transcript has 3 exons. NCBI's taxonomy places the organism in Eukaryota, Metazoa, Chordata, Mammalia, Dermoptera, Cynocephalidae. The record is from RefSeq and is a predicted model, not a curated record.